RNAcentral lists this ribosomal RNA (417 nucleotides) under uncultured bacterium. Its description in RNAcentral is "partial 16S ribosomal RNA". It matches the Rfam family "Bacterial small subunit ribosomal RNA", at positions 360 to 774 of the family's 1533-position model. The record is from RNAcentral.
AAUCGUGGACAAUGGGUGAGAGCCUGAUCCAGCCAUCCCGCGUGAAGGAAGAAUGCCCUAUGGUUUUUAAACUGCUUUUAUACAGGAAUAUACCACUUUACGUGUAAGGUGUUGAAGGUACUGUAUGAAUAAUCAUAUGCUAUCUCCGUGCCAGCAGCCGCGGUAAUACGGAGGAUGCAAGCGUUAUCCGGAUUUAUUGGGUUUAAAGGGUCCGUAGGCGGGCAUAUAAGUCAGAGGUUAAAUCCGACAGCUUAACUGUCGAACUGCCUUUGAAACUGUAUGUCUUGAGUGAGAUUGAAGCAGCUGGAAUGUGUAGUGUAGCGGUGAAAUGCAUAGAUAUUACACAGAACACCGAUAGCGUAGGCAGGUUGCUAAGUCUUUACUGACGCUGAUGGACGAAAGCGUGGGGAGCAAACA